ACUGGCAGCCAUAUCACCCUGCAGCCCAAGACUGGUUGCCCACUGAAGCUAAGCAGGGUUGAGCCUGGUCAGUACCUGGAUGGGAGACCUCCUGGGAAAACUAGGUUGCUGCUGGAA
This 117-nucleotide ribosomal RNA is filed under the name Sinocyclocheilus anshuiensis. The record is from RNAcentral. Lineage: Eukaryota; Metazoa; Chordata; Actinopteri; Cypriniformes; Cyprinidae.